GACGUGUUCGUGUCAUCGAUUCGCAACUCGCAACGUUCAGGUUCUCGUCACGCAACAGCAAUUAAUUUACAAGAGGUCUAAAAAAUGAAGAGCAGUUGGAUCCAGAUUAGAAAAUGAUGAAGAGCAGUUGGCUCCGGAUUAAAGUUAAUCUACAUUGAUUGAUGGAGACGGGCAUUAUCCGGACAAAUCCAGAUUUUACCGAAAACCGGUGUUUAAGCAUUGCGUAUCCCCUUAACGUGAAUAAAUUCGCACCAGUUCGCGAGGGUUGAGCAAGAAAGGUUUCCCGUGUCUGGAAGAGAAUGUACUUCGAACGAUAACUAUUGAGAUGAUCGCGAGUUCACGUCACAGAAUACGUCGUCGCGACGUACGUAUAAGGAUGCUUCUCGACAUCGCGAAACGAGAUCGAGGGAAAGAAGCAAACUCCUGGUAAUGGUCGGGGAACGGUUGAAGGGAUGAGCUUCGAGGAAUAAGGUAAGGAUAAUCGAAGCAAUCGAACGGCGGUCGUGCCGUUCGUGGGAGUCGAGGGCGUUGGGCCGCGAAAUGAAUUCCACCCCUCGACGGAGGGUGGAAAAAAGAGGCACCCGUCGCGCCAGUCUCGCAUACUCGCGUAUUCGCUGCUCGUAUAUGCGCGAGAGUACACACACAUACAUACACAUACAUACACACACACACACACGCCGUUACCACCCGAGACGACCGGGGCUGCUGGGAGAAUGAUAACGCCGCGUUAGAACGAAGAUUUGUGAAUACAUUAGAGAAAAUGCGUGGGGUCCUCGGGGAGGGCGCGCGAAAGGGAGGACUGAGGAAUGGCAGGGUGAUUCGUUCCCGGAGGAAAACGCUCGGGAAUCCUCCUCCGCGCCGCUCGGGUAUUUAUCUUCCACCGAUCGCGUUGGGGUCGCGUCCCUGGAAAGUCAACGAACUUUGUUCUCUAUCUCCCUCACCCCUUCCCUUCUUCUCGGCGGCUCCAGAAUUGCGAGCAAUGUAAUUUUUUUUGUCAACGACUUCUCGCUCUCGGGCUUUCCCGCGGGAUUUUGUGCACCUCCACUCUCUGUACUGCGUUUCUAUUGAAUACCUUUGUGAGGAUCUUGUUUUUUUUUUUUUUUUUUUUUUUUCCCGAGAGAUGUAAUUCCACAAGUUGAAUGAUUUAUUACGUUUCAUCAUAGUAGUAGUUCGAUAAUAGCAGUAUUACACAAAUUAACAUUAUCAAUUCGAUAUUUAACUUUCAAAAGUUGAGUUGAAAUUGUGCGAUAACAUAAGUAUAAGAUAGAUGUUUUA
This 1275-nucleotide long non-coding RNA is filed under the name Acromyrmex echinatior (Panamanian leafcutter ant). RNAcentral describes it as "uncharacterized LOC105152877, transcript variant X1". Lineage: Eukaryota; Metazoa; Arthropoda; Insecta; Hymenoptera; Formicidae. The record is from RNAcentral.